GAUGAACGCUGGCGGUAUGCUUAACACAUGCAAGUCGUACGAAGCUUGCUAGGUCACUUGUGACUUGGCGAGACUGAGUGGCGGACGGGUGAGUAACACGUAAGAAUCUACCUUUUGGAGAGGGACAACCACUGGAAACGGUGGCUAAUACCUCAUAUGCUGAGAAGUGAAAUGAUGAAUAAUCGCCAAGAGAUGAGCUUGCGGCUGAUUAGCUUGUUGGUGAGGUAAAGGCUCACCAAGGCCAUGAUCAGUAGCUGGUCUGAGAGGAUGAGCAGCCACACUGGGACUGAGACACGGCCCAGACUCCUACGGGAGGCAG
Molecule: ribosomal RNA, 319 nt
Filed under: uncultured bacterium
Lineage: Bacteria
Description: bacterial SSU rRNA
Rfam family: Bacterial small subunit ribosomal RNA
Source: RNAcentral